UUCAUCGUUGGUGGUGCGGCUUACCGCAUUC
RNAcentral lists this small RNA (31 nucleotides) under Bombyx mori (domestic silkworm). RNAcentral's name for it is "ovarian small RNA-9524". Lineage: Eukaryota; Metazoa; Arthropoda; Insecta; Lepidoptera; Bombycidae. The record is from RNAcentral.